CAUUUCCCAAACCGGCUCUGAUUUCCCAGCUGGAACGAGGGGAAACACCCUGGUGCUCGGUUCCUCAGGGAGCUCUGGAUGGAGAGGCCCCGAGGGGCAUCUCCUCAGGGAUAGGUGAAGAAGAGAUCUUCAUCUUUUCUAUUUCUUCUUGACAUUUUAAAGAUAUCCAUCUCUAAAGCUUGCUGGGAUUUCCCAUCCUGAGCAGGUGGAAGAGCCAUUAAACCUGAAACUGCAAGGAGAGGGUCCAAGCCUAAUUUGUCCUGG
This 264-nucleotide small RNA is filed under the name Pongo abelii (Sumatran orangutan). RNAcentral's name for it is "processed transcript". Lineage: Eukaryota; Metazoa; Chordata; Mammalia; Primates; Hominidae. The record is from RNAcentral.